AGCCCAGCACCGAAUCCCGCGGCCGACUUCGGGCGCCGGGAAAUGUGGUGUUAGGGAGGGUCCGUUAUCCCGAGGUUUCGCGACGCGUCCAAGUCCUUCUUGAACGGGGCCACAGCCCACAGAGGGUGCCAGGCCCGUAGCGACCGUCGCCGAUCGCGGGAGGAUCUCUCCUCAGAGUCGGGUUGCUUGAGAGUGCAGCCCUAAGCGGGUGGUAAACUCCAUCUAAGGCUAAAUAUGACCACGAGACCGAUAGCGAACAAGUACCGUGAGGGAAAGUUGAAAAGCACUUUGAAGAGAGAGUUCAAGAGUACGUGAAACCGUUUAGGGGUAAACCUGAGAAACCCGAAAGGUCGAAGGGAGAAAUUCAUUCGCGUUUCGUCGUAGGCGUCGGACGAGAUCGUGCGACGGAAAACGUUUCGCGACGUUUUUCGCGCCUUUCGUUCGACGAUCCGACGACGAACGCGUGCACUUUUCUCUUGGUAGGACGUCGCGAUCCGUUGAGCGUCGGUCUACGGCUCGCGGAGGAGCCCGCGCGUACGGUUCGUAGCCGUUCAAACGCUCGGACCCGCGAGAUACCCGACCGACUCGCUCGACGGUAUAAUUGAAAGGUUCGCGGCCGCGCCUCGGCGCGUUCGACUCGCGACAAGCGCGCCAGAACUUCGUCGGAAAUCGGACCCGGUGCCGAUUCUGACCUCUGGUGACUGUUGGUCGCGUCGUUAUCUCGAACAGACCCGGAACCGAUCAGCGACGCUAUAGCUUUGGGUACUUUCAGGACCCGUCUUGAAACACGGACCAAGGAGUCUAGCAUGUGCGCGAGUCAUUGGGAAUCGCUAAACCUAAAGGCGCAAUGAAAGUGAAGGUUCGUCUCGCGCGAACCGAGGGAAGAUGGGCGGUUUUACGUCGCCCUUAAAAGCGACCGUCCCGCAUUCCCGGGGCGUCUCGUUCUCAUCGCGAGAAGAGGCGCACCAAGAGCGUACACGCUGGGACCCGAAAGA
RNAcentral lists this ribosomal RNA (995 nucleotides) under Orthognathus lividus. RNAcentral describes it as "partial large subunit ribosomal RNA". It matches the Rfam family "Eukaryotic large subunit ribosomal RNA", at positions 104 to 823 of the family's 3401-position model. The record is from RNAcentral. Lineage: Eukaryota; Metazoa; Arthropoda; Insecta; Coleoptera; Curculionidae.